RNAcentral lists this ribosomal RNA (803 nucleotides) under Oenococcus oeni. Its description in RNAcentral is "bacterial SSU rRNA". It matches the Rfam family "Bacterial small subunit ribosomal RNA", at positions 737 to 1533 of the family's 1533-position model. The record is from RNAcentral. Lineage: Bacteria; Bacillati; Bacillota; Bacilli; Lactobacillales; Lactobacillaceae.
UAACUGACGUUGAGGCUCGAAAGUAUGGGUAGCAAACGGGAUUAGAUACCCCGGUAGUCCAUACCGUAAACGAUGGGUGCUAGUUGUUAAGAGGUUUCCGCCUCCUAGUGACGUAGCAAACGCAUUAAGCACCCCGCCUGAGGAGUACGGCCGCAAGGCUAAAACUUAAAGGAAUUGACGGGGACCCGCACAAGCGGUGGAGCAUGUGGUUUAAUUCGAAGAUACGCGAAAAACCUUACCAGGUCUUGACAUACCAAUGAUCGCUUUUGUAAUGAAAGCUUUUCUUCGGAACAUUGGAUACAGGUGGUGCAUGGUCGUCGUCAGCUCGUGUCGUGAGAUGUUGGGUUAAGUCCCGCAACGAGCGCAACCCUUGUUAUUAGUUGCCAGCAUUUAGUUGGGCACUCUAAUGAGACUGCCGGUGAUAAACCGGAGGAAGGUGGGGACGACGUCAGAUCAUCAUGCCCCUUAUGACCUGGGCAACACACGUGCUACAAUGGGAAGUACAACGAGUCGCAAACCGGCGACGGUAAGCUAAUCUCUUAAAACUUCUCUCAGUUCGGACUGGAGUCUGCAACUCGACUCCACGAAGGCGGAAUCGCUAGUAAUCGCGAAUCAGCAUGUCGCGGUGAAUACGUUCCCGGGUCUUGUACACACCGCCCGUCAAAUCAUGGGAGUCGGAAGUACCCAAAGUCGCUUGGCUAACUUUUAGAGGCCGGUGCCUAAGGUAAAAUCGAUGACUGGGAUUAAGUCGUAACAAGGUAGCCGUAGGAGAACCUGCGGCUGGAUCACCUCCUUUCUAAGGA